This 2131-nucleotide long non-coding RNA is filed under the name Anas platyrhynchos platyrhynchos (common mallard). RNAcentral describes it as "lncRNA (ENSAPLG00000018949.1)". Lineage: Eukaryota; Metazoa; Chordata; Aves; Anseriformes; Anatidae. The record is from RNAcentral.
UCACACUUGGCUCUGGGGUCCCAGGGCCCCGAGGCCUGGGCUGGGAGACCUGCAGAGCUCUGUCAAGGUUCCCCUUCCCACCGGGAGGCCAGAUCCCAUCCCUAAGAUUCAAGGAGUUUGAGGGAUUCGUCUCGCUCCUCGGAGGACCGGGUCCCCAAGGUCCAGCCUUUGCGGCUGGGAGAAAGGUGCUGCAGGCCCCCCUCCUUUCCAUCUGCCCCCUCUGAGCCCCGGGGAGAGAUCGGUGCUGAAUGGGCUGGGUGGGGGCUGCCAGGAGGGACGUACUGGGGGCAAGUGGCGCAGCCCAUUUGGGGACUGGUGGCUGAGAUUGGGGCCAUGGUGUGGUGACCCUAAGGGGGCUGGGGGCCCUUUGCCAGGGGCCGGGAGGCAGCGAGUGGCUCAGGCCCAAGUCAUUCUGCCCCUCUUUUAGCGCUUGAGGGGGGCUUCACCCCCAUGCAGGAGAGAGGGUGCAGGGUGCGGGGCCCGCGGGUGAGACCCCAGCCACGCAGAGGUCCCCGGGCAGAGGAGGCAGCGGGCGGUGAGGCUCUGUCCUGGCCAGGCAGGCUUGGGGCAGGGACCAGCGCCUGCAGCUCCGGCGUCCUGGCCUCGUGCUCGGCUCCUGUGCUGCUCUGGCAUCUUCCGAGGCGUGUGGAGGAGCAGCCGGAGGCCUCCAGCCUCCUCUCCAGGGCUGACCUCACGCUCAGGGUCCCUCACCCUCGCACCAGACGUUGCUGUCGGGAGCCCACGCAGGUUUCUGCUCGUGUUCCCGGUCGGGGACCAGCUCUGCUGCAGGGCCUUAGCUGGGCACGAGGGCGUUGCUGUUCCUGCGGGAGCUCCUCGGUCCCUGCUGUGGCAGCCAGCGCAGUGUCCCUGCGCCAGGAGGGUCCCCUGCCACCCGUGGGGGUUCCCGGGGAGCUGGCGACCUUGGGGGGGUCACCCUGUCCCGCUGCGGCUCCAUCCCCUCCUGGAGCCUCUGCCACGACUCCAAACCCACGGGAGAAGAGCCGCUGCCCGUGCUGUGAUGCUGCAAGUGGCGUAGAAGAGUUCCCUGCUCAGCGGGGAGGAGCUGCGAGGAGAACCAAUGCAUUAGCCCAGUCUACAAAUGUGGAAAUAAACAAGAUCAGCUCAACGUAGGGCUGGGAGCCCAGCAGCGAGGAGUCCACUCCACUCCUGUGUGUUUAGGACAUGUGUCUGUGUAUUUUACAUUAUUCCUGCCUUAAAAAAAUAUACAUCAUUUAUCUAGUAAUGCUAAUGGAUAUGAACCCAUCCGCAUUUGCCCUGCAAAGCCCAUUUUCCCAUCUUAAGAUAAAAUCAUUACCCAUCUGCAUACGUGACAUCAUUUCAUAAUAGGAGUCAUUUAGAGAUCCUGUCUCCUGGAUGCAGCACCGUGAUUAUUCAUGCGAAAUUCAGGGGCAUGCUUUGCUCCAGGAAGGAAAGUCGCUAUUUCCAUAAAUAUUGAGUUAUUAGGGAGCCGCACGGGUGGCUGUUGAGAUCCCAAGUUGCAAACCUGGUAAAAGAACCUUGCAAAUUGUGGGCUGAAGCAGACAGCGUUGAGCAGAGACCCUCAUUCCUGGGUGCUUCGUUCAAUCGCCUUGUCCAUCUUCUCCACUUCUGGUCUUUAGUGAUGGGAGGAAAAAACGGCGAGCGUUGACUUCGCCGUUGUUUCUGUUGGUGUUUCUGCAGCUGGGUAGUGCUCCUGGAGCGGGGUUUGGAGCCAGGAUCAGGCCUGUGUCUAGCCCUAGCUUUGCAGUGACUUUGGGCACGUCGCUGGCCCAGAUCCCAUCCUCGCAGCCCUUUAGGGCUGUGCAGGGGCAGGCGCCGGUGCCCUGCGGGACACGAAGCCUCGUGCCCAAGGCCAGCACCCAGAGGGAGCGCGGGGGCUCGUGCAGCGGGGCCGGGGCUUCCCAGGGAGAUGGGUGCCGGGUUAGGGGCACUGUGCAGCCGCGCUCCAUCCCUUCCCCUUCCCUUGCCACUGGAGCCUUGCAUAAGCCUGGAAGCGGAAUCCAGCCCAGGAGGGAGGAUCCAGCCCGGGAAGCAGGAUCCAGCCCGGAGCUGCCGGCUGCAUUAGUAAUGCGAGCUGCAGGCAGGGGAUGAUUCAGUGGCGGUGGUGGUGGUGCCGUGACGGCCCCGGGGC